ACACCUAGGACUCUCCACCAAAACAUACAGGCUGCAUGCCCAUAUAACACAUAAAGUGGGGUGGCAGCACUUAAUGAGAACGUCAUUACAGCCCAUGUAAAUCCGCAACCACAGUGCUCUGCUCUAUAAAUGCACAGCAAAGUGUUCUUGGUUCCAGUUGAGCAUUUACUCUGUCUCCAUUGAACAUGUCAAGAUGCCCACAGAUGAUGGUUGAAGCUGAGGUUACUGAUUCAAGAUCUUCUUUUUCUAGUACUAUAAUUUUAUGAUGCAAAUAUUCCACAGUUUGUGUAUCCAUUCACCUGUAGAAGCACUUCUGGCUGUGUCCAGUGCCAGAUCCUUAUAACUAAGCUGCUUGAACAUUUUUGUGCCUGUUUCUUGGAUCUAUUCUGGGCUCAGCCAAUUGGAUGCCCUCAUGUGGAACUCUGAAGUGAUGGAGGGAGUGAUGCAGAGACACAGAAACAUCAGAGUUACUGGCAGAGGGAUGAAUGCCAGGAAGUAUCCAGUGACAGCAACUGCCAAACUCAUCACCCUGCUCCUGUGUAAACAUAGGGACAGCUUAUGUUGAAAACUAGUUUUCAUCCCAUACAUUCAGUGGACUAUUCAAUAUCCUUCCAAUAACAUCUUUUUUGCUUAAAUGAGGAUGAAAAGAAGGAAGUCAGGAUGGCUUUGUGAUUUUUGUAUUUAAGAUAACUGGUAAGCUACCAUGAUAAUACUGGUGAAGGAAUGUUGAUAAGGAUAUUUGGAAUUAAAGUCUAAUUACUAAUUCCACAGGUGAGGAAAUAAAGGCUCAGAAAUAUUGCCUACAGGUACCCAGUUAGUUAGGGUGGGAUGCAAAUCCUAGCCCUGACUCCUAGUUCCAAGCCCUUUUCAACACACCUGUCAGUGAAAUGAGGUGUAGAGUCCUGGAAUUUGUAAAGGUUGGCAAGGGGCCCUGCAUCAGUGCUUCCUAAAACUGCUUUUACCCCAGGGAAAAGUGAGACCUUUCAUUUUCUGCAGAGAAAAGCAAACAUUGCCCAUUAAGGUUUGUACACAUCCAUGCCACUCUGGGAACUGUUGCUGAUACGUAGCAGCAGGACAUGUUAGGAGCCACUGGGCUGUAAGGAACACUUGUUGACAGUGACAAGAAAGCUGGUGCUUAUUACAGCACUGCAGUUAUGUCAUUGUGCAUAAAAGAGCUUGAAAAAUGAAGAAAUGUGGCAAGAUUCUAAAGUAUAUUCCUAUUACUC
Long non-coding RNA from Prionailurus viverrinus (fishing cat), 1226 nucleotides. RefSeq lists it as uncharacterized. Lineage: Eukaryota; Metazoa; Chordata; Mammalia; Carnivora; Felidae. The transcript has 5 exons. The record is from RefSeq and is a predicted model, not a curated record.